This 554-nucleotide ribosomal RNA is filed under the name fungal sp. AM2013. RNAcentral describes it as "eukaryotic LSU rRNA". The stretch from base 180 to 333 matches the Rfam family "5.8S ribosomal RNA". The record is from RNAcentral. Lineage: Eukaryota; Fungi.
GAGGGCCCUCUGGGUCCAACCUCCCACCCGUGUCUAUCGUACCUUGUUGCUUCGGCGGGCCCGCCGUUUCGACGGCCGCCGGGGAGGCCUUGCGCCCCCGGGCCCGCGCCCGCCGAAGACCCCAACAUGAACGCUGUUCUGAAAGUAUGCAGUCUGAGUUGAUUAUCGUAAUCAGUUAAAACUUUCAACAACGGAUCUCUUGGUUCCGGCAUCGAUGAAGAACGCAGCGAAAUGCGAUAAGUAAUGUGAAUUGCAGAAUUCAGUGAAUCAUCGAGUCUUUGAACGCACAUUGCGCCCCCUGGUAUUCCGGGGGGCAUGCCUGUCCGAGCGUCAUUGCUGCCCUCAAGCACGGCUUGUGUGUUGGGCCCCCGUCCCCCUCUCCCGGGGGACGGGCCCGAAAGGCAGCGGCGGCACCGCGUCCGGUCCUCGAGCGUAUGGGGCUUUGUCACCUGCUCUGUAGGCCCGGCCGGCGCCAGCCGACACCCAACUUUAUUUUUCUAAGGUUGACCUCGGAUCAGGUAGGGAUACCCGCUGAACUUAAGCAUAUCAAUAAG